GGGUAGGUUCCCGAGUGGCCAAAGGGAGCAGACUGUAAAUCUGCCGCUAUCAGCUUCGGUGGUUCGAAUCCACCCCUGCCCACCA
Molecule: transfer RNA, 85 nt
Filed under: Clostridiales bacterium
Lineage: Bacteria; Bacillati; Bacillota; Clostridia; Eubacteriales
Also listed under: 2 other names
Description: tRNA-Tyr
Rfam family: tRNA
About the family: Transfer RNA (tRNA) molecules are approximately 80 nucleotides in length. Their secondary structure includes four short double-helical elements and three loops (D, anti-codon, and T loops). Further hydrogen bonds mediate the characteristic L-shaped molecular structure. tRNAs have two regions of fundamental functional importance: the anti-codon, which is responsible for specific mRNA codon recognition, and the 3' end, to which the tRNAs corresponding amino acid is attached (by aminoacyl-tRNA synthetases). tRNAs cope with the degeneracy of the genetic code in two manners: having more than one tRNA (with a specific anti-codon) for a particular amino acid; and 'wobble' base-pairing, i.e. permitting non-standard base-pairing at the 3rd anti-codon position.
Source: RNAcentral